AUCGCUUCUCGGCCUUUUGGCUAAGAUCAAGUGUAGUAUCUGUUCUUAUCAGUUUAAUAUCUGAUACGUCCUCUAUCCGAGGACAUAAUAAAAAAAAAAAAGAAAAUCUCAU
RNAcentral lists this small nuclear RNA (112 nucleotides) under Myotis davidii. RNAcentral's name for it is "U2 spliceosomal RNA". It matches the Rfam family "U2 spliceosomal RNA". From Rfam's summary of the family: U2 is a small nuclear RNA (snRNA) component of the spliceosome (involved in pre-mRNA splicing). Complementary binding between U2 snRNA (in an area lying towards the 5' end but 3' to hairpin I) and the branchpoint sequence (BPS) of the intron results the bulging out of an unpaired adenosine, on the BPS, which initiates a nucleophilic attack at the intronic 5' splice site, thus starting the first of two transesterification reactions that mediate splicing. Lineage: Eukaryota; Metazoa; Chordata; Mammalia; Chiroptera; Vespertilionidae. The record is from Rfam by way of RNAcentral.